AAAUUGAAGAGUUUGAUCAUGGCUCAGAUUGAACGCUGGCGGCAGGCCUAACACAUGCAAGUCGAGCGGAAACGACACUAACAAUCCUUCGGGUGCGUUAAUGGGCGUCGAGCGGCGGACGGGUGAGUAAUGCCUAGGAAAUUGCCUUGAUGUGGGGGAUAACCAUUGGAAACGAUGGCUAA
This 182-nucleotide ribosomal RNA is filed under the name Vibrio cyclitrophicus. RNAcentral describes it as "partial 16S ribosomal RNA". It matches the Rfam family "Bacterial small subunit ribosomal RNA", at positions 1 to 166 of the family's 1533-position model. Lineage: Bacteria; Pseudomonadati; Pseudomonadota; Gammaproteobacteria; Vibrionales; Vibrionaceae. The record is from RNAcentral.